CCUACGGGAGGCAGCAGUGAGGAAUAUUGGUCAAUGGGCGGGAGCCUGAACCAGCCAAGUCGCGUGAGGGACGACGGUCCUAUGGAUUGUAAACCUCUUUUGUCGGGGAACAAAGGCGCCCACGGGUGGGCGGAUGAGUGUACCCGAGAAAAAGCAGCGGCUAACGCCGGGCCAGCAGCCGCGGUAAUACGGAGGAUGCGAGCGUUAUCCGGAUUUAUUGGGGUUCAAGGGGGCGGAGGCGGACAGUCAAGGCAGCGGGAAAAAUGCGGGGGUCAACGCCGUACCGCCGUUGAAACUGGCAGUCUUGAGUUGGCGAGACGUAUGCGGAAUGCGUGGUGUAGCGGUGACAUGCAUAGAUAUCACGCAGAACUCCGAUUGCGAAGGCAGCAUACCGGCGCCCGACUGACGCUGAGGCACGAAAGCGUGGGUAUCGAACAGGAUUAGAUACCCUUGUAGUC
Molecule: ribosomal RNA, 458 nt
Filed under: uncultured bacterium
Lineage: Bacteria
Description: partial 16S ribosomal RNA
Rfam family: Bacterial small subunit ribosomal RNA
Source: RNAcentral